CGACCUUGAACUCGCUCACAUUACUCCCGACCUUUGUGAUCAAGCCGGUUAUCUCAUGCCUGAAAUUCAUGCAAUGUUCUUAAAAAGGAGUUGGUUAUGGCUUCAAUGCAUCAUAUGCCAAAAGAGAUCUGUGGGGGACCAAAACAACUUGGCAAACAACUAAGCAUUCAUUUGGAUGACUUCUUUCUUGGAUUGCCUUGUGAUUUAUUUGUCAUGAUUGAUAUGAUCUAUAUUUAAAGGUGACAAUUUAUUGGUUCUGAA
This is a long non-coding RNA of Dioscorea cayenensis subsp. rotundata (Guinea yam), 261 nucleotides long. RefSeq lists it as uncharacterized. Lineage: Eukaryota; Viridiplantae; Streptophyta; Magnoliopsida; Dioscoreales; Dioscoreaceae. The record is from RefSeq and is a predicted model, not a curated record. The transcript has 2 exons.